UGUAGCUUGACAUUGGGUCUUGGUACUACAUGUACAGGAUAGGUGGGAGGCUUUGAAACCAGGACGCCAGUUUUGGCGGAGCCAUCCUUGGGAUACCACCCUUGUAGUACUGGGACUCUAACCAUAGGCCAUGAAUCUGGUCUUGGGACACUGUCAGGUGGGCAGUUUGACUGGGGCGGUCGCCUCCCAAAAGGUAACGGAGGCGCUCAAAGGUUCUCUCAGUACGGUCGGAAAUCGUACGUAGAGUGUAAAGGCAAAAGAGAGCUUGAUUGCAAGACAUACAGGUCGAGCAAGGAUGAAAAUCGGACUUAGUGAUCCGGUGGUUCUGCGUGGAAGGGCCAUCGCUCAACGGAUAAAAGCUACCCUGGGGAUAACAGGCUUAUCUCCCCCAAGAGUCCACAUCGACGGGGAGGUUUGGCACCUCGAUGUCGGCUCAUCACAUCCUGGGGCUGCAGUAGGUCCCAAGGGUUGGGCUGUUCGCCCAUUAAAGUGGUACGCGAGCUGGGUUCAGAACGUCGUGAGACAGUUCGGUCCCUAUCCGUCGCAGGCGGAG
RNAcentral lists this ribosomal RNA (553 nucleotides) under Clostridioides difficile. Its description in RNAcentral is "bacterial LSU rRNA". It matches the Rfam family "Bacterial large subunit ribosomal RNA", at positions 2105 to 2656 of the family's 2925-position model. The record is from RNAcentral. Lineage: Bacteria; Bacillati; Bacillota; Clostridia; Peptostreptococcales; Peptostreptococcaceae.